ACACGACUACAUUAGAUACCCCUGUAGUCCUAGCCGUAAACGAUACUCGCUAGGUGUCGGCCACGGUGCGACCGUUGUCGGUGCCGUAGGGAAGCCGUGAAGCGAGCCACCUGGGAAGUACGGCCGCAAGGCUGAAACUUAAGGAAUUGGCCGGGGGAGCACCACAACGGGUGGAGCUUGCGGUUUAAUUGGACUCAACGCCGGGAAGCUCACCGGAUAAGACAGCGGAAUGAUUGCCGGGCUGAAGACCCUGCAUGACCAGCUG
RNAcentral lists this ribosomal RNA (265 nucleotides) under uncultured archaeon. RNAcentral describes it as "partial 16S ribosomal RNA". It matches the Rfam family "Archaeal small subunit ribosomal RNA", at positions 717 to 982 of the family's 1478-position model. The record is from RNAcentral.